RNAcentral lists this ribosomal RNA (274 nucleotides) under uncultured bacterium. Its description in RNAcentral is "partial 16S ribosomal RNA". It matches the Rfam family "Bacterial small subunit ribosomal RNA", at positions 523 to 796 of the family's 1533-position model. The record is from RNAcentral.
ACACGGAGGGGGCGAGCGUUAUUCGGAAUUACUGGGCGUAAAGGGUACGGAGGCGGUCUGAUAAGUGUGGAGUGAAAUGCCUCGGCUCAACCGAGGACUUGCUCUGCAUACUGUCAGGCUUGAGUACGGGAGAGGCUGGUGGAAUUCCUGGUGUAGGGGUGAAAUCCGUAGAUAUCAGGAGGAACACCGUUGGAGAAGUCGGCCAGCUGGACCGUUACUGACGCUGAGGUACGAAAGCGUGGGGAGCAAACAGGAUUAGAUACCCUAGUAGUCC